This 450-nucleotide ribosomal RNA is filed under the name uncultured bacterium. RNAcentral's name for it is "partial 16S ribosomal RNA". It matches the Rfam family "Bacterial small subunit ribosomal RNA", at positions 338 to 795 of the family's 1533-position model. The record is from RNAcentral.
CCUACGGGCGGCUGCAGUGGGGAAUUUUGGACAAUGGGGGCAACCCUGAUCCAGCCAUGCCGCGUGCGGGAAGAAGGCCUUCGGGUUGUAAACCGCUUUUGUCAGGGAAGAAAUCUUCCGAGCUAAUACCUUGGGAGGAUGACGGUACCUGAAGAAUAAGCACCGGCUAACUACGUGCCAGCAGCCGCGGUAAUACGUAGGGUGCAAGCGGUAAUCGGAAUGUGUGGGGGCGGUUGUGCAAGACGCGGUUGAAAUCCCCGGGCUUAACCUGGGAACUGCACUUGUUACUGGACGGCUUGAGUACGGCAGAGGGGGAUGGAAUUCCGCGUGUAGCAGUGAAAUGCGUAGAUAUGCGGAGGAACACCGAUGGCGAAGGCAGUCCCCUGGGCCUGUACUGACGCUCAUGCACGAAAGCGUGGGGAGCAAACAGGAUUAGAUACCCGUGUAGUC